AUGGAAAGUGAUGGAAUGCCUCUGGAUACUCCAGGUUUGUCAUUGGUAACCAGGUGCAGUAACACAUGAAAAGUCAAACAAACAUUGUCCCACAGCAACAAUCGCUACAGAAGUGACAUUUAUUGACAUUCUGCUGUAUUUACAGGUUGAACAUAGUAAAACUCCAAAGUGAAUGACCACUUGGCAGAAAGCACAGGAGUGCACAUUAAAUCUACAUUUCCAACGCAUCAGAGUCUCUGCUAACACAAAUUAUAAAAGCAAGAAUUACAGGUAUGUUAGGAAUUGUCUCAAAAGUCCCAAGCCAAAGAAAAAAGAAAGGCCUUUGUUUUGCAAGAUGGUUUUUAUACAAAGUUGCAACAUGAUCUUUCAGUUUUACACUACAGACUCGUUCUGUGAAAACCCCUGGAGAGCCCAAACAGUUGGUGGUGCGAAAGGAAAGGAUACUACAACACCGAGAAUAAAGACUGUUAAAAGUUAAUACUUGUGCCACCUCUAAAUUCCCAAUGCCACCUCUGAGUCUGGACUGCAGCAAGCUCUGUUCCUCCACAGGCCCCCAGUGCUGGGAUUGCAGGAGCACAGCCACCCUGCACUGCCAGCUCAGCUCCAGAGCCACCCCCAACAGCACAUGGGGACAGGGAUGGACAGGGAUGGACAGGGAUGGACACGGGGACAGGGAUGGACAGGGACGGACACAGGGACAGGGAGGGACAGGGAUGGACACGGGGACAGGGAUGGACAGGGAUGGACAGGAGAGGACACAGAGCACACGGAGAUACAUGGGCUGUACAGGACACAGAGCACACACAGACUGUCCAGGACAGGGUGACACUGCACAGGACACAGUGUCACACCCUGCACAGGACAGUGUCACACCCUGCACAGGACAGUGUCAAACAGCACAGGACAGUGUCACACAGCACAGGACAGUGUCACCCUGCACAGAACAGUGUCACACAAUGCACAGGACAGUGUCACACCCUGCACAGGACAGUGUCACACCCUGCACAGGACAGUGUCAAACAGCACAGGACAAUGUCACUAUGCACAGGACAGUGCCACACCCUGCACAGGACAGUGUCACCCUGCACAGGACAGUGUCAAACAGCACAAGACAGUGCCACACCCUGCACAGGACAGUGUCACCCUGCACAGGACAGUGUCACAAUGCACAGGACAGUGUCACACCCUGCUCAGCACAGGCACAGCUCCCAGGCUGGAGGAGGAACUAAAGCAAGCCUGGCCCCUGCUGGCCCUGCUUUGGCUCCCGCUGCCCAAGCACCACAAACUCGGGCUGAACGCCUUCAUCAGCACGCCACAGACUCACUGCAAGAGCUGCUUCAAACAUUAGCCACUAAUGAGUCAACAAUUACAGAAUUCUGCGUUAAUUAUUAA
Molecule: long non-coding RNA, 1392 nt
Filed under: Cyanistes caeruleus (blue tit)
Lineage: Eukaryota; Metazoa; Chordata; Aves; Passeriformes; Paridae
Description: lncRNA (ENSCCEG00000007002.1)
Source: RNAcentral